RNAcentral lists this ribosomal RNA (207 nucleotides) under uncultured bacterium. RNAcentral describes it as "partial 16S ribosomal RNA". It matches the Rfam family "Bacterial small subunit ribosomal RNA", at positions 1286 to 1500 of the family's 1533-position model. The record is from RNAcentral.
UCUCAGUUCGGACUGGAGUCUGCAACCCGACUCCACGAAGCUGGAUUCGCUAGUAAUCGCGCAUCAGCCACGGCGCGGUGAAUACGUUCCCGGGCCUUGUACACACCGCCCGUCAAGCCAUGGGAGCCGGGGGUACCUGAAGUGCGUAACCGCGAGGAGCGCCCUAGGGUAAAACUGGUGACUGGGGCUAAGUCGUAACAAGGUACC